GUCAUGGGUCACGUGAUUGGCAGAUUUCACUAGAGCCUGGAUUAGCUGCUGCUAAUGUCCACUCACUUUGCUUGCCCUUGCCAAAUAGUCUCUUGAUCACUGAUUGUUCCCCAAGCAAGGCAGCGUGUAGAAGAAAAUGAGAGAAGAAGGGGGUGAGAAGCAGCGUUCCCGGUAUCUGAACAGCUGUCAUGGAUGUGAAACUCCUUGUGAGCGCUGAUGUACUACAGAGGAAAAGGGAGAGGGCCUGAGACACAGCUAUCUCCUCAGAGAGAAGCCGCGGAGUUAGUUUGGACCCUGUUCCUUUCGCCUGAUCCUCAGAGCAUCAGGAAGACUCACCUGGGACAGAGCCUGCAGGUUCGGCCUUCUGCGGGGUACUGGCCUGGCUGCCUAUACAAGGAGCUUCAGCUUGUUCUGUGUGGAUGCCUUCUUUCUGGCUAGGAGUCUCAUGCCCUAAAAGAGAAGAGGAUGCCCCAAGGACUCCAAAAACAUCACAUAUGAAAAGCAAACCCCAUUGGUUCUAGGAGGCAAGCCUGAACUUCCCAAAGAUCUCUGUCCUACAUCAUACCAGCAAAGGCAGAUUCCCGGUAGCCAGAGCAGGCGCUAAGGGUGGACAGGAGCCAUAAUUGUAAGGAAUUUCUGGACUACGUGUUUUAUAAACUCCAAGGCAAAACAUGUGAGGAAAGAGAAUGGGAAGGAGCCAGGCUAGAUCUCACCUUAGGCAUUCCUGCCUCGGCCUACCUGCAGCCGCUUGGUCCCUCUCACUGUGCUGUUAUCACCCCUAUAGCACUUUCUGUCUUCUAAGGUGGCUUGCAAUUUGUAGCAUGCUUACAUUUCUUGUUGGCCGACUGCUGCCCAUUGUAAGAUUAGGCUCCUCACAGGGAAGGGCCUAGGUCUAUUUAGUGCCUAAGGUUUUCCAACCGUCCGGAGUAGCUUCCAGCAGAGUACGCGCUUAACAGAUGGCUUGUGGAAGAAGGAAUAUUCUCUCCAGAGCCACGCUCCAUGGUACCCACUUACCUGAGCAGGAGUGCAGUGUGCUCGCUCCUCUGGAUGACAUCUUCUCCUGGGCAUUACUGAACCCAUCCCUGGGCUCACUCUGGGGAGCCAUCUCUGGCUGUCCCACUGAGAAUCCUGUUAUAGGCAGAGUGAAGCUUCAGAGUGAAUCCUGUUAUAGGCAGAAGUUCAAGUGAAGCUUCUAGUAUUGAACUGGUACCAGACAUGGAGCAUUUUCCCAGCCGGUCUGGGAAGAAAGGUACCUCUUGUCUGUAUGGAUAAAGGACUGCCCAAGCUCCCCAGCAGUCUGGCCAGGUAUUAAGCUCAGCCCUUUUAAUCGAGGGGAGAAAAAAGAAAAGAAAUUGGAUAGUUUGAAAUAGGAAAAAAAAAGAAGAGGAAGAAGAAUUCCAGUGCUGGGGGGUGGGGUGGGAGGUGGCUCAGUGGGUAAAGGUACUUGCUCUGUGCCUAAUGAUCUGCAUUUGGUUCAAAACCCACAUGGUAGCAGAUAACUCAAAAAAAAAAAAAAAAAAAAAACUGUUCUCUCACCUCCACACAUGAGGCAGACAUAAUAAACACAAUAAAUAAAUAUGUAAGUGCAA
Long non-coding RNA from Mus caroli (Ryukyu mouse), 1589 nucleotides. RefSeq lists it as uncharacterized. NCBI's taxonomy places the organism in Eukaryota, Metazoa, Chordata, Mammalia, Rodentia, Muridae. The record is from RefSeq and is a predicted model, not a curated record.